UGGAAAGAUGAAUCAAAGAAGGUAAUAAUCCUGUAGUCGAAAAUGUUGUCUCUCUUGAGUGGAUCCUGAGUACGACGGAGCACGUGAAAUUCCGUCGGAAUCUGGGAGGACCAUCUCCUAAGGCUAAAUACUCUCUAGUGACCGAUAGUGAACCAGUACCGUGAGGGAAAGGUGAAAAGCACCCCGGAAGGGGAGUGAAAUAGAACCUGAAACCGUGUGCUUACAAGUAGUCAGAGCCCGUUAAUGGGUGAUGGCGUGCCUUUUGUAGAAUGAACCGGCGAGUUACGAUUUGAUGCAAGGUUAAGCAGUAAAUGUGGAGCCGUAGCGAAAGCGAGUCUGAAUAGGGCGUUUAGUAUUUGGUCGUAGACCCGAAACCAGGUGAUCUACCCUUGGUCAGGUUGAAGUUCAGGUAACACUGAAUGGAGGACCGAACCGACUUACGUUGAAAAGUGAGCGGAUGAACUGAGGGUAGCGGAGAAAUUCCAAUCGAACCUGGAGAUAGCUGGUUCUCUCCGAAAUAGCUUUAGGGCUAGCCUCAAGUGAUGAUUAUUGGAGGUAGAGCACUGUUUGGACGAGGGGCCCCUCUCGGGUUACCGAAUUCAGACAAACUCCGAAUGCCAAUUAAUUUAACUUGGGAGUCAGAACAUGGGUGAUAAGGUCCGUGUUCGAAAGGGAAACAGCCCAGACCACCAGCUAAGGUCCCAAAAUAUAUGUUAAGUGGAAAAGGAUGUGGCGUUGCCCAGACAACUAGGAUGUUGGCUUAGAAGCAGCCAUCAUUUAAAGAGUGCGUAAUAGCUCACUAGUCGAGUGACACUGCGCCGAAAAUGUACCGGGGCUAAACAUAUUACCGAAGCUGUGGAUUGUCCUUUGGACAAUGGUAGGAGAGCGUUCUAAGGGCGUUGAAGCAUGAUCGUAAGGACAUGUGGAGCGCUUAGAAGUGAGAAUGCCGGUGUGAGUAGCGAAAGACGGGUGAGAAUCCCGUCCACCGAUUGACUAAGGUUUCCAGAGGAAGGCUCGUCCGCUCUGGGUUAGUCGGGUCCUAAGCUGAGGCCGACAGGCGUAGGCGAUGGAUAACAGGUUGAUAUUCCUGUACCACCUAUAAUCGUUUUAAUCGAUGGGGGGACGCAGUAGGAUAGGCGAAGCGUGCGAUUGGAUUGCACGUCUAAGCAGUAAGGCUGAGUAUUAGGCAAAUCCGGUACUCAUUAAGGCUGAGCUGUGAUGGGGAGAAGACAUUGUGUCUUCGAGUCGUUGAUUUCACACUGCCGAGAAAAGCCUCUAGAUAGAAAAUAGGUGCCCGUACCGCAAACCGACACAGGUAGUCAAGAUGAGAAUUCUAAGGUGAGCGAGCGAACUCUCGUUAAGGAACUCGGCAAAAUGACCCCGUAACUUCGGGAGAAGGGGUGCUCUUUAGGGUUAACGCCCAGAAGAGCCGCAGUGAAUAGGCCCAAGCGACUGUUUAUCAAAAACACAGGUCUCUGCUAAACCGUAAGGUGAUGUAUAGGGGCUGACGCCUGCCCGGUGCUGGAAGGUUAAGAGGAGUGGUUAGCUUCUGCGAAGCUACGAAUCGAAGCCCCAGUAAACGGCGGCCGUAACUAUAACGGUCCUAAGGUAGCGAAAUUCCUUGUCGGGUAAGUUCCGACCCGCACGAAAGGCGUAACGAUUUGGGCACUGUCUCAACGAGAGACUCGGUGAAAUCAUAGUACCUGUGAAGAUGCAGGUUACCCGCGACAGGACGGAAAGACCCCGUGGAGCUUUACUGUAGCCUGAUAUUGAAAUUCGGCACAGCUUGUACAGGAUAGGUAGGAGCCUUUGAAACGUGAGCGCUAGCUUACGUGGAGGCGCUGGUGGGAUACUACCCUAGCUGUGUUGGCUUUCUAACCCGCACCACUUAUCGUGGUGGGAGACAGUGUCAGGCGGGCAGUUUGACUGGGGCGGUCGCCUCCUAAAAGGUAACGGAGGCGCUCAAAGGUUCCCUCAGAAUGGUUGGAAAUCAUUCAUAGAGUGUAAAGGCAUAAGGGAGCUUGACUGCGAGACCUACAAGUCGAGCAGGGUCGAAAGACGGACUUAGUGAUCCGGUGGUUCCGCAUGGAAGGGCCAUCGCUCAACGGAUAAAAGCUACCCCGGGGAUAACAGGCUUAUCUCCCCCAAGAGUUCACAUCGACGGGGAGGUUUGGCACCUCGAUGUCGGCUCAUCGCAUCCUGGGGCUGUAGUCGGUCCCAAGGGUUGGGCUGUUCGCCCAUUAAAGCGGUACGCGAGCUGGGUUCAGAACGUCGUGAGACAGUUCGGUCCCUAUCCGUCGUGGGCGUAGGAAAUUUGAGAGGAGCUGUCCUUAGUACGAGAGGACCGGGAUGGACAU
RNAcentral lists this ribosomal RNA (2357 nucleotides) under Staphylococcus aureus. RNAcentral describes it as "partial 23S ribosomal RNA". It matches the Rfam family "Bacterial large subunit ribosomal RNA", at positions 343 to 2704 of the family's 2925-position model. The record is from RNAcentral. Lineage: Bacteria; Bacillati; Bacillota; Bacilli; Caryophanales; Staphylococcaceae.